GACGAACGCUGGCGGCGUGCUUAACACAUGCAAGUCGAACGGAAAGGCCCUGCUUUUGUGGGGUGCUCGAGUGGCGAACGGGUGAGUAACACGUGAGUAACCUGCCCUUCACUUUGGGAUAACUUCAGGAAACUAGGGCUAAUACCGGAUAGGAGCCCCUCCUGCAUGGUGGGGGUUGGAAAUUUUCGGCGGGUGGGGAUGGACUCGCGGCUUAUCAGCUUGUUGGUGGGGUAGUGGCUUACCAAGGCUUUGACGGGUAGCCGGCCUGAGAGGGUGACCGGCCACAUUGGGACUGAGAUACGGCCCAGAGUCCUACGUGAGGCAGCAGUGGGGAAUAUUGCACAAUGGGCGGAAGCCUGAUGCAGCAACGCCGCGUGCGGGAUGACGGCCUUCGGGUUGUAAACCGCUUCCGCCUGUGACGACGCGUGAGUGACGGUAAUGGGUAAAGAAGCACCGGCUAACUACGUG
RNAcentral lists this ribosomal RNA (468 nucleotides) under uncultured bacterium. RNAcentral's name for it is "partial 16S ribosomal RNA". It matches the Rfam family "Bacterial small subunit ribosomal RNA", at positions 28 to 507 of the family's 1533-position model. The record is from RNAcentral.